RNAcentral lists this ribosomal RNA (303 nucleotides) under uncultured bacterium. RNAcentral describes it as "partial 16S ribosomal RNA". It matches the Rfam family "Bacterial small subunit ribosomal RNA", at positions 507 to 807 of the family's 1533-position model. The record is from RNAcentral.
AGCAGUCGCCGCGGUAAUACGGAGGGAGCUAGCGUUGUUCGGAAUUACUGGGCGUAAAGCGCACGUAGGCGGUUAUUCAAGUCAGAGGUGAAAGCCCGGGGCUCAACCCCGGAACUGCCUUUGAAACUAGAUGACUAGAAUCUUGGAGAGGUCAGUGGAAUUCCGAGUGUAGAGGUGAAAUUCGUAGAUAUUCGGAAGAACGCCAGUGGCGAAGGCGACUGACUGGACAAGUAUUGACGCUGAGGUGCGAAAGCGUGGAGAGCGAACAGGAUUAGAGACCCCCGUAGUCCCUGUCUCUUAUAC